RNA transcript from Saimiri boliviensis boliviensis (Bolivian squirrel monkey), 4278 nucleotides. It is a transcript of the gene named Bardet-Biedl syndrome 1, with no coding region annotated. Lineage: Eukaryota; Metazoa; Chordata; Mammalia; Primates; Cebidae. The record is from RefSeq and is a predicted model, not a curated record.
CGUUACGCGGCGGCAGGGGCGGGGCUGGUUGCCAGGACGACGUCUGCCAAGAUGGCCGCUGUGUCCUCAUCGGAUUCCGACGGCUGCGGAGCUGAGAGCAAUGAGACCAAUUCGAAAUGGUUGGAUGCGCACUACGACCCAAUGGCCAACAUCCACACCUUUUCUGCCUGCCUAGCGCUGGCAGAUUUGCAUGGGGAUGGGGAAUACAAGCUGGUGGUAGGGGACCUUGGCCCUGGUGGGCAGCAGCCCCGCCUGAAGGUGCUCAAAGGACCACUGGUGAUGACCGAAAGCCCGCUACCUGCUCUGCCAGCUGCGGCCGCCACCUUCUUCAUGGAGCAACAUGAGCCCCGGACCCCAGCUCUGGCACUUGCUUCAGGCCCUUGUGUCUAUGUGUAUAAGAAUCUCAGACCCUACUUCAAGUUCAGCCUGCCCCAAUUGCCUCCAAACCCUCUGGAACAAGACCUUUGGAACCAGGCCAAAGAGGACCAGAUCGACCCCUUAACCCUGAAGGAGAUGCUGGAGAGCAUCCGGGAGACAGCAGAGGAGCCUUUAUCUGUCCAGUCACUCAGUUUUCUGCAGCUGGAGCUGAGUGAAAUGGAGGCAUUUGUAAACCAACACAAGUCCAAGUCCAUCAAGCGGCAGACAGUCAUCACCACCAUGACCACCUUGAAGAAGAACCUGGCUGACGAGGAUGCUGUGUCUUGCCUGGUGCUGGGCACUGAGAACAAGGAGCUCCUGGUGCUUGACCCCGAGGCCUUCACCGUUUUAGCCAAGAUGAGCCUUCCCAGCGUCCCCGUCUUCCUAGAGGUUUCCGGCCAGUUUGAUGUCGAAUUCCGGCUUGCCGCGGCCUGCCGCAAUGGAAACAUCUAUAUUCUGAGAAGAGACUCCAAGCACCCCAAGUACUGCAUCGAGCUGAGCGCCCAGCCUGUAGGACUUGUCCGAGUACACAAGAUCCUGGUGGUGGGCAGCACCCAAGACAGCCUGCACGGCUUCACCCACAAGGGGAAGAAGCUGUGGACAGUACCGAUGCCCGCAGCAAUCCUGACCAUGAACCUCCUGGAGCAGCAUUCCCGGGGCCUGCAGGCUGUCAUGGCUGGGCUGGCCAAUGGAGAGGUCCGCAUUUAUCGUGACAAGGCCCUACUCAAUGUCAUCCGCACCCCGGAUGCAGUGACCAGCCUUUGCUUUGGCCGCUAUGGGCGGGAGGACAACACCCUCAUCAUGACCACACGAGGCGGCGGACUGAUCAUCAAGAUCCUGAAGCGUACAGCAGUGUUUGUAGAGGGAGGAAGUGAGCUGGGUCCCCCACCAGCCCAGGCCAUGAAACUCAAUGUGCCCCGCAAGACCCGGCUUUAUGUGGAUCAGACACUGCGAGAGCGGGAGGCUGGCACCGCCUCUGUGCCCCUUCUCUGCAGCCAUGCACCGGGCCUUCCAGACAGACCUCUACCUGCUGCGCCUGCGGGCUGCCCGCACCUACCUGCAGGCCCUUGAGUCCAGCCUGAGCCCCGUGUCUGUGACAGCCCGGGAGCCACUGAAGCUGCAUGCCAUGGUUCAGGGCCUUGGCCCCACCUUUAAGCUCACACUUCACCUGCAGAACACUUCAACAGCCCGUCCUAUCCUGGGGCUGCUGAUCUGCUUCCUGUACAACGAGGCGCUCUAUGCCCUGCCCCGGGCCUUCUUCAAGGUACCCUUGCUGGUGCCAGGGCUCAGCUACCCCCUGGAGACCUUUGUGGAGAGUCUCAGUAACAAGGGCAUCUCAGACAUCAUCAAGGUGCUGGUCCUUCGAGAAGGCCAAAGCGCACCCCUGCUGAGUGCCCACGUCAACAUGCCCGGGAGUGAGGGGCUGGUGGCCACCUGAGCCCUGGGCUGCUGUGAAAACCCCUGAGGAAUCAGCCAGGGAGAACCGGGCAGGUUCAGUGGCCCCAGGCCCACUCCUGAUGCAGCAGUGUGCUGGGGUGACAGCUUGUCUCCCCUCUCCUAAGCACCCCCUUUCUUACCACCCCCACCACUGGGCCUAUAGUAGCAGUUAGUGAGUACCCUAAGCGGCUCGACUCCUCCUUCAGGACCAACCAGGCAUUGGUCCACCGAGCUCCUGCUACACCCUCCCCCGCCCCAGCCUUUUCAGAAACCACCCUGAGCUUGGAACAGAGCUCUGAAGUGGUCAAAGUGAGAUGAGCAGGACAGGCGGAGCCAUUCUCCACUGCCACAUCCCUCAUGCACGUCACUCGUCUCCCACUGCAGGCCAAGGCCAAAACUGGCCUAGGCCUGGCCAGGGAAAUCAGCAGCUCUUCUUGGAUGAGAGUGUGCCUCCUAUUGCUCCCUGGCGAUCCAGAGGCUAGGCUGCAGCCCAUUCAGCUUGCAGGCAAAACACAUGCUCUCUUCUCUCCUGACAGCUGAGCAAGCCCAGGGAAUAGCCCUCCUCUCUCCAGCAAGCUUCUCUGAAAUCUUAGACUCAGCCGUUCUUAGGCCUAUGAUGGUACACAAAGGUUGUCCAGGGAGAAGGGGGUGUAGGAGGGCAGAUGGUGCCCCACAGGGAGCUGGUGGCUUCAGCCCCCCUAGAGCUCCUAAAGAUCACACAGCAGCUGCUCCUGAUGGGGGUGCUUAUGCACAGAAAGAAACCCCAGGAGAGGCAGGCGGAGCGAGACAGAGCAGAGCCAGGGCCAGGGGCACAAGGAGAGGCGUUUCUGGGGCUUUGGGGAAGUGCCACAGGAGGCAGAAGUCCAGAACUGCCCAUAUAGAUGCCCUUCUAUGUCCUGGAGCCCAAAUCAGUCAUGUAAGUGGGAAGUUCCCAGGACAGUGGCCAUAUCGUGAGAAUGAGCAGGAAAGGCUGGCCCCAGAGGUGUUUAAUAAAGCUGGAGACUGAACAAAGGCCUGUGCUGAGACCCACAGACCUGGCCUAAGCUCCUGGCUAGCCUGCCUGGCCCACCUCACAGGCCACCCUGAGCCCUGCUCCCUAAAAACCUGCAUCUUCCCCUGCUUGUCAAGGUGCACCCUGCAGUGUGAUGCACAGCUCAGGGUUUUAGGAGGUCACCAGAUCUCUCUGGGCUUCAGUCUCCCACAUGUAAAAUAAGGCACUUUGACCAGAUUGUUUCCAAAACUCUUUCACCUCUAAUACACUGUGAGCUUGGCAGCCCCUCUGGAGGAAGGAGGAGUUGACUCCAGAAAACUGACACUUAACAGGAGUAACUGCAGAGCUUUUGCCCUUGAGGCUAAGGGCCCCUGGCUAACUGCCACUGCUGGCAGCAGCCGCUGUGCCCAAGACAUGGGGACUGAGGUGAUGCAGCCCACCAUCCACCCCUGUGCCUCUCAGGGGAUGCAGCUGAGGUCAGGCUAAAAGAAGCAAGGGACUCUGCACUGUGUGGCCACUUGCAGACACAGACCAAUUGGGUCAGGAUGGCAGAGGGUUUCUAGAUCAAGCCUGCUGGGCCACAGCUGGAAGAAGCAGGAGUUAUAACCCAGAAGUGGAAAGACCUGGGGCAGAGGGAGUGUCGCUGUCAGAUUUCAACUUAACCUGAAGAACUUAGCAGAGACGGAAGGGCCUGCCCUAGAAAGUGAUGAGCCCCUUGUUGCUGGAGCUGUGCAAAUGGUGGCUGCACUAUCACAUGACAGGGUCACGGGAUGGGCCAGAUGACCAGAUGAUCCCUUUCACCCCAAUCAGGCUAUGAACUUUGAGAACUGGGAACAAAAAAGUCUAAUCUGGGUUCUCAUCAUAGCUAUUUCUGAGGAUGAAAUGGGAGACCUAUGCCCAGCACUGAUGUCAGUUUAUAUAAUGUAAUGCUGUGUAUCUACCACUAAGAAACACAUGAACCGCACCGCGUGGACAGGAAGUGUUCACAAAGCCACAUGAGGCAAGAAACAGUGCCGGGUGCCCAGCACAUGCACUAGAGAGAAGCUACAGACAUUAGGACAAGGAGAGUUGGUGUCUUUCUAAAACGUUCUUACUUAAAAACGUGUCCCCACUUACUAACAUGAAUUACACAGUUUGCAAGAAGAAAAGUCUUUCCCAUUCUCUAGUGCUGCUCCCCCACCCAGCAGUCACUUCCAGUUCUUUCAGGUAUUUUAAAAAUGUGCUUAUAUGACUCCUGCUUGAUUUAUCAAUCUUAGACAUUACCUGUUGACUCCCUGUUGUCAUACAUGAGGCUUUAGCUCUUGUACCCCUCCCCCAUCCCUAGUUUUUAGAUUAAAAAAAAACACUCAGAAUACUAUUUCUAUUAUUAUGUGAAAGUUAUUAACUGCAGAGCCAAGAAUUGGAAUAUAAUUAAAUUCACUUUGUUGUACUUU